GAGUAAAUGAAAUGCAGUGAAAUGCAGAGGUGGGGGGAAUCCACUCCAGAUCACCCAGCUGUGAUGCCCUAUCCAUCAUUGCUUUUUGAUAUCUUUCCCAUGCUUCAAGACUAA
RNAcentral lists this long non-coding RNA (114 nucleotides) under Monodelphis domestica (gray short-tailed opossum). Its description in RNAcentral is "lncRNA (ENSMODG00000049999.1)". Lineage: Eukaryota; Metazoa; Chordata; Mammalia; Didelphimorphia; Didelphidae. The record is from RNAcentral.